GAUGAACGCUGACAGAAUGCUUAACACAUGCAAGUCGAUGGGGAAGUGGUGCUUGCACCAUGGCAACCAUGGCGGACGGGUGAGUAACGCGUAAGGGACUUACCUGCAGGACUGGGAUAACAGGGGGAAACUCCUGACAAGACCGGAUAAUGUCAUGGAGCUGCAUGGCUUUAUGAUGAAAGGAGACGCCUGCGGAGAGCCUUGCGUCCUAUUAGCUAGUUGGUGAGGUAAUGGCUCACCAAGGCGAAGAUAGGUAGCCGGCCUGAGAGGGUGGACGGCCACAAGGGGACUGAGAUACGGCCCUUACUCCUACGGGAGGCAGCAGUGGGGAAUAUUGGAAAAUGGGGGCAACCCUGAUCCAGCAAUUCUGUGUGCACGAAGAAGGUUUUCGGAGUGUAAAGUGCUUUCAGCAGGGAAGAAGUAAGUGACGGUACCUGCAGAAGAAGCGACGGCUAAAUACGUG
Molecule: ribosomal RNA, 463 nt
Filed under: uncultured bacterium
Lineage: Bacteria
Description: partial 16S ribosomal RNA
Rfam family: Bacterial small subunit ribosomal RNA
Source: RNAcentral